CCUGAGUGGCAGGAAGAAAGGGGCUAGUUGUGAAUUCAAACUAUAUUCUGACCUUCCAAGUAACCCUGAGUGUGAAAGCCAGUAAACAAAUCUACCCACUUUGCCUCAGGGUCACUUAAAACGUGUCUUGCCAGGAAUCUGACAUAGUUGCUAAUUUAGUUUCUGACUCCCUUCUCCCUGAACCAGUGAAGUCUGAGUAGAAGAGACCUGAGUCCCAGAUGCCAAUGCUCUCCUGGCCUUCACCCGGUGAGGGGUACUUUGGUAUGCUUGGCAGAAAACUACUCCAUUCUGUCAAAGUUGGGUAUUGCCAAAUGUCCAGGUCAGAUUGCUCAAAUGUCUAGGCAUGGUACAGGUCCCAGUCUGGGGCCUGGGCCAGGGCUGCAGGCACGUGCAGGUUUUCUGGUAAUGGCUGAAGAUAGGUCAGUGAUCUCUGAUUGCUCUGGAGAAGAUGAGUGCACAUAGCUUCACUAAGUCAGGCCAGGAAGCACUUCUUGGGCAAGGGUGAGUGAAUUAGGAAUGGCAUGGAGCUGUAGGUCAUAUUCGAUAAAUGACGAACAAUUCAAGGUGCGGAGGCACAGCGGUUAUGCAGGAGAAGCGGGAGAUGAGAUUGUUUAUGCAUUCACUCAACAUUUAUUGAAUAUUUACUGUGUGCCAGGUCCUAUGCUGGGCACUGGGUGUACAACAAACAAAAGUGGUCCUUGCCCUUAAUGGAAUGGACAGUCUAUCAGGGAGUCAGAUAGCAAGCAAACAGCUGGCGUCCAAGUUUGAAGCACGUUCUAGUAAGGGUCUUUAUCAUGUAGGUGUUAGGAACAGAACUUCAGAGAGCUAACUCAAGCGGCCAGCUGUACAGUGGCUUAAGGGAGGGAGGGGCCAGCAGCAGGACGAAGAGUUAGAAAGCUACUGAAAAAUAGCGAGGAGGUCCUGAAUUAGACCAGUGGCUGCAAGGAAGAGUGGGAGGGUCAGACCCUCCGAAGCUUUUGCUGACAGGUUCAGGUGACUGACUGGAUGUGAUCCUGAAGUUUUAGCACGGACAACCAGGGGUAGCCUUACCCUCUGCUGGAGAAGCAAAGAGCUCAGUGUGGAAGAACAUUAAGUCCUGAAUCUUGCUCAUGGUGAAAAGCAAGGUAAGGGAUCAGGGAGAAGCAGUUUGAAUGACAGUCCCUGCUGGGAGGGAUGGGCAGGAGUUCUGCUUCCCCACAGGGGAUUGUGCAGACUGAGAGUUUGCUCUUGACCUCUCAGGCUCUAUGUGUGUUGAGGGACAGGUUGAGUUCACGUGUGUGCGGCGGUAGAGAAAUGGGACUGGAGGCUGCCAGCCUGAAAACCUGCUGCAGUGCUGCCGUUUUCAUGCCUCGGUGCUCUUAGGCUGCCACUGCUGCCGCCGUCACGUUGCUUCCUGUGACGGGAAAUGUUGCAGCCUCUGCCCUGGGCACCAGUCAUGCUGGGAACUGAGCACGAUUGCUUUUCUUGGGUAGCAUCGGUCAAAGGGAAGGAAAAGAAGCGGCGGGAGGCCUGAGAGCAGCUCAGGAGACGCAGCAUCUGUUGAACCCUAUUCUCCAGUCAAUUUGUGGCCCCCCACCCUCUGGGGUUCAUCUAAUCAGAGAGCACAAAUACUCAGAGCGACAGGCUCGCCUCUCCCCAUCCUCUGCCACAGGGGACAGGGUAUUCAUCAGCGUGGCUUGUAGGAGGGCCACCAGAAAAUCGAAUAGCUGUGGAGUGUCAUGCAUUUAACAACUCCCCCCGUACUGUAGUUGCUCUGGGCAUUUUUUUCCCCAUCCUAAGAGCCCCACCUGCUCCAACACCCUCUACCAACAAAAUUGCAAUUGACCUUAUUCAAACACCUCAUUGCUACCUGAGGGGGCCAACACAAAAAUAAUCACAUCUGCAGCUUUCUAGAAGGCGGCUCAUAAUCUGAGCCUAGUGCCUCAGGCCAGGAAAGGGUGGGGGACAUGUGAGUGUGCAGGGUGUGGGCAUAAGCAAGGCGGAAGAUCUUUCUAAUACCAACAUGUAGCCAUAAGGAGCUAUUAGAGGGCUCAAGGGGAGGGGGAAAGAGAACAAAGCCCUCAUAUAUUUUCUCUGAUCCCAACAAAAACAAAGGCAGGGUUCUCGGUCGGUGGCAGCCUUGGUCCUCCCCACACUGAGUCCUCCCCCGCUGGCCUGAAGCAUUGUUCCUUCACUCAGCCGGGACGCAGAGCACUACGCUGAUGAGCUGAUUUUUAUGCUUCUCUUCCUCCAGCCAAAAGCAGGUGGCAUCCGUUCCAGCUGAACUGUCGCUACUUUUUAAAUGGAUGUGACAAUAAAAAAAGAGAAAGAAAAAGAAAGGAAGAAAGAAAAAAAGAGAGAAAACCACCCUAUUGCCCAGUGACAACACUUCCAGAUAAUCAGGGGAGGGCUGAAGUGGGAAGGGGGAGAAGGGGGUUGAAUAAGGAAAUCAAUUUCAGCCUGAAAGCUCUGAAAGGAGAGGGGACGUGUGAAUGGCUUUUUAAGUGGCAUCAUUAAACCUGGGCAGAAAGGUCGAUUGGGCAGAGCAAACCGCAUAAAUACAAACAGAUGACAUUUAUGUCUGGCAGAAUUGGUUUUUGUUUAGUUGUUUUGGUUUUUUUUUAAUCACUGAGGUAGAAGACUCAUAAGACUUCUUUCUUUUGCCACCAAGAAUCAAAUCUAUGGAAAGGAAUGUCCAGAGAAAUAAUAUCCACAGGCAUCUUUCCCAUAUUACAGGACAGAAUCCAACAAUAUCUUGUUUUUUUCCCCCUCUUUUGGUGAAGGGGAGGAAUAUCUUCAGGGAGUGGGAGAGAAAGGAGUUAGUCCCAGCUUUGGAAACCCCUCAGCUACAAAAUGAGCCAAUUCCAAGACCUUGAAUCUGAAGAUGAAGAGACACAACCACAGAGACCCAAUACAUAUACUGAUAUACCACGAAGGAUUCACAUAAAAAUGCACAUACAAGUAUAACUAUUUGCACAUACACACACUUGUUUUAACAAACAAGAGAAAAUGCCCUGCAGUAGUAAGCACCACCAGAGGCUACAGCGGUUCUUGGAGCUGAUUUCUACAAUUUCCAUAUCCUGCUGGGAAUUUCAAGGUCAAGUGCCCCCGGUGGACACUUAGGAGAAACAGCUACAGACCAGGAAUGUAAUAAAGGGUAAAGGCUGUUGAAUUUAAAACCUCUCAGCCUGUGAGAAAGCCACGUUUGGUCUGGAUGAAGGCAGAAGUCACUGCUCCUUGAAGGUAAGAAGAAUUGAUCCUGUCUUAUGAGCAAGAUUAAUUCUGGAAUUCACUCCACAGCAUCUAACUAAGAGUGCGAAAACUCUUAUGUGAAAAUCUUAUUUCUAAAAUGGGAAAAACUGUCAAAAUGCUUCCCUCUCACCAGAAGAGGGCACUCUGAUAUCCCACAACAGAGCAGAAUGGGGAUGGUUGGAGGCUACAUUAAGAUCUCCUCCCCACUAGAACCCCUGAAGCUGCUUUAACUGCAGGGUAAUGCUGUGUCAGGGUCAGGUAAAAGGGAAACAAACAAGGGUAGCUGUACUUGGUCUGCUGGGAGAGUUCUUGGCAGAGGCAGAAAGAGACAGGCUGCAUGGCAUAAGCCUAUUCACCUGAUAGCUGUCCCUUCAAAGAAGGCCUUUAGCUAUUUAACAUGAUAUUCAUUUAUUUCCCACUGGAGGGAAAGGAAUAGAGUACAGAGACCUGUUGAAAGUGUGAUAUUGAGGAUGCAGCAUGGAAGGCAAAAGACCCUAGUUCAAGGUCUACGACUGUGACCUCAGGCAAGUCAUUUAUCCUCUUUGAGUCUUAAAUUUCCUCUUCACAGGGUUCUGGUGAGAAUUAAAAUGACACAAUGUAUGUGAGCACAAAUGAAAAGCAGCUAAACAAAUCUAAGAUAGGACUUAAAAAGCAUUUUAUCAGCUUCCUCACACUCACAACCAAAAAGUAAAGCUGUCUAUAGGAAGAGUGAGUGCAGGAGACAGAGGUAAGCACUUUGUGUCUCAAAGGCAUGUGAGUGGUGAGUGUAAUGCUGGCUUCGGAGGGAAGGAAAAAAAGAAGAAAGAAAAAAAAAACCCACAAGGAACCCAAUAAAGUAUGUGGCUUCCCAGGGAUAGGAUGGGGCAACCAACCUCAUCUCUCACGAGGUCAACUUUAGCACUCCUGGAAAAACACCAGUCAGGACUCUGGCCUUUUCUUGUGAUGGUGUUAUAGCUGGGGACAGAGCCAAUCCAGGAACUCUCCCACCCUUCCCAGCUCUAGAGCACAAGUCUUUCAGCAGCGUUUGCUCUUGCCAGUACCCAAGACCCUCUAAUUCUUUAUCCUCUUACCUGAGUACUGCUGUGGCAUCUGUGGUGGACUGCAGGGAGAGGGAGACUGAGGCAUCUGGUACUGCUCAGAGCCGGGAGGCUGCAGAAACCCUACAGAAGGGCUGGGGGAUGAAGAGAGUAGGGUUAAAGUGGCGGAGGGAGGAACACAGCUCCUGGCAACCAGCUGCUGCUUCCCAGGCCUCCCCUGUGGGAAGCAGAGGCAGCUUCCAGCCAUUCCCAGACCAAUUUGCCAUGCAAUUUCUAAAAUCACUCAUCAGUUCAAAGUUAAUUAUAUAUAUUUGUACUUGAUCAUCUUUCAAUUAGGAAGCUGCUAAUCAGUGCUACAGAUGGAAUGUUAGUGACACAUGCUCUUCCCAACAGUGUGGAAACAUCAGACAUAUCCACGUGCACACAUGCGCACGCGCGCGCACACACACACACACACAUUCUGAGAAACACGAAGUACCAAAAACAGACACACAGUGCUAGAGAGGGAUGGGCAAAAAAGAACUAAGGAGGUGUGUGAUUUAGGAUGUUUACAUAACAGCAGUUACCUAAAGAGAAGUGGGGAAAAACCCUCACAAACUCAAGAUAAGGUGGAGACAUAUAUACAAAAAGUAGUGAACAUAUACACUGAGAGAAAUA
Felis catus (domestic cat) is the source of this 4925-nucleotide long non-coding RNA. RefSeq lists it as uncharacterized. The record is from RefSeq and is a predicted model, not a curated record. The transcript has 2 exons. NCBI's taxonomy places the organism in Eukaryota, Metazoa, Chordata, Mammalia, Carnivora, Felidae.